This 253-nucleotide ribosomal RNA is filed under the name uncultured bacterium. RNAcentral's name for it is "partial 16S ribosomal RNA". It matches the Rfam family "Bacterial small subunit ribosomal RNA", at positions 524 to 776 of the family's 1533-position model. The record is from RNAcentral.
UACAGAGGUCUCGAGCGUUGUUCGGAUUCAUUGGGCGUAAAGGGCGCGUAGGCGGCGGGGUAAGUCUGGUGUGAAAUCUAGGAGCUCAACUCCUAAACUGCACUGGAUACUGCUCUGCUGGAGGACUGGAGAGGAGACUGGAAUUCACGGCGUAGCAGUGAAAUGCGUAGAUAUCGUGAGGAAGACCAGUGGCGAAGGCGGGUCUCUGGACAGUUCCUGACGCUGAGGCGCGAAGGCCAGGGGAGCAAACGGG